This 1024-nucleotide long non-coding RNA is filed under the name Heterocephalus glaber (naked mole-rat). RNAcentral's name for it is "lncRNA (ENSHGLG00000036205.1)". The record is from RNAcentral. Lineage: Eukaryota; Metazoa; Chordata; Mammalia; Rodentia; Bathyergidae.
GGGUGGUGCCUGACAAAGGUCACUGUCCAGAGCAGCUGGGCCCGAGGGGAGGGCAUGGCAUUGGCCACGGCUUGGUUCAGCUCGGCUCAGUGACAAGGGAGCCCCUCCCAGGUGCUGGGGGAUCUGAGAUAGUUUGUCAGCAACAUCCGGCCCCAUGACCGAAGUAUUAUGAAGGAACAAUGAAGCUCUUGGACCUAGAAAACAGGGCAGGGGAGAGAAAGGAAUCUAAGGAGAUUUGAGGAACAGAAGUGGACCCAAAGACUAACAAAGGCCCUCAUCGAUCGUUCCAGAGAAGAAUCAAUCAGAAAGGUUGAUGGAGACUUUCAGCUAACUGGACAGAGGCCCCUCAGGUGCCACCUCAGACCCCAGGACCCUAAUGAAAACCUCGGACCAAACACAGAUGCCGCCACUGAGUCAGGCUGGCCCUGGUGCUUUCUCACCGUCCUUCACUCUGUGGAGUGUACUUGGGUCCUGCUCAGUUCUUCAUUCCGGAUGCCAAAAGCCUGGAUGCAAGGUACACGUCCACUUUGGAAACUGGUUGGCAUUCCUAAUCAUGAACAUGUGGCUCACGCCUGUAAUCCCGGCCUUCAGGAAAGCUGAGGUGGGAGAAUCCCAAGGUCAAGCCCAGCUGGGGCAACUGAGUGACUGAGCAAGGCCUGAUCUCCAAAUAACAAAAGGGCUAGGGAUGUAGCUUAGUGUAGUUGCCCUGGGUUAUCCCUAGUUCCACAGGAAGAAAAACAGCAACAUGAAUUCCCAUGACCAGCCGCUCCACCCCGUGCUACCCAGCAGGAUGUAUUCGUUGUGAACCCAAAACACGCUGCAGAGUGCUGGUGGGCGUGACUGCCCCUGGGGACCAGCCAGGAUGAGAAAUGCUGCUACGUUCACAGCGAGCAUUGACCAGGCACCAGAAUGGGACAAAUCCCAUGAAAUUCGUGUUAAGCAAGCACAAAAGAGAGAACAUCCUGGAUGGUUUUAUUUCUAUAAAAUGCAGACAGCAGGCAAAGCUAUAUUCUGAAGUGAGAGA